Molecule: ribosomal RNA, 907 nt
Filed under: Morchella sextelata
Lineage: Eukaryota; Fungi; Ascomycota; Pezizomycetes; Pezizales; Morchellaceae
Description: partial large subunit ribosomal RNA
Rfam family: Eukaryotic large subunit ribosomal RNA
Source: RNAcentral
GGGAUUGCCUCAGUAACGGCGAGUGAAGCGGCAAAAGCUCAAAUUUUAAAGCUGGCAUCUUCGGUGUCCGCGUUGUAAUUUUGUGAGGCAUCUCCGGGUAGGGCGCCGGCCUAAGUUCCUUGGAACAGGACGUCACAGAGGGUGAGAAUCCCGUGCUUGGCUGGCUGUCCCCGUCCAUGUGAGGUGUCUUCGACGAGUCGAGUUGUUUGGGAAUGCAGCUCAAAAUGGGUGGUAAAUUUCAUCUAAAGCUAAAUAUUGGUGGGAGACCGAUAGCGCACAAGUAGAGUGAUCGAAAGAUGAAAAGCACUUUGAAAAUAGAGUUAAAAAGUACGUGAAAUUGUUGAAAGGGAAGCGCUUGAGACCAGACUUCGGUAGGGGGUGAUCAGCCGUGCUUCGGUGCGGUGCACUUGUUCCUCUCUGGGCCAGCAUCGGUUGAGGCGGCGGGAUAAAGGUCCCGGGAAUGUGGCUCCUUCACGGGAGUGUUAUAGCCCGGGUGAAUGCCGCCAGCUUCGACCGAGGACCGCGCCCGCAAGGGUUAGGAUGCUUGGCAUAAUGGUCUUCAGCGACCCGUCUUGAAACACGGACCAAGGAGUCUAACAUCUAUGCGAGUGUUUGGGUGUCAAACCCUUGCGCGAAAUAAAAGUGAACGGAGGUGGGAACCCGCAAGGGCGCACCAUCGACCGGUCCUGAAGUCUUCUGAAGGAUCUGAGUAGGAGCAUAGCUGUUGGGACCCGAAAGAUGGUGAACUAUGCCUGAAUAGGGUGAAGCCAGAGGAAACUCUUGGUGGAGGCUCGCAGCGGUUCUGACGUGCAAAUCGAUCGUCAAAUUUGGGUAUAGGGGGCGAAAGACUAAUCGAACCAUCUAGUAGCUGGUCCUGCACCACCCCCCCCCGGAAAAAAAAAAAAAA